UCUCACAAAUAACUUUCUUCUCCAGCAAACAUAUGAACAACUCUAUUAAAAUAGAGACUCUUAUGCUAAAACUAUUAAUAUGAGCAACCGCUCUACCUGCGCACUCAUCACUCAAACACACCGAUAAUUAACAGACCAAAAAAGGACAAGUACAACCUGAUCAACAAGUCCUUUAAACACUGUGAACCCAACUCAGGCGCGCAAUACGGUAAAAUUAAAAGUUACAAAAGGAACUCGGCAAACACAGAUUCCAACUGUUUACCAAAAACAUAGCCUUUAGCUAAACAAGUAUUAAAGGUAAUGCCUGCCCAGUGAAACCACUUUCAACGGCCGCGGUACCCUAACCGUGCAAAGGUAGCGUAUCAAUUGUCCACUAAUUAUGGACCAGUAUGAAAGGCCACAUGAGAUUCUAACUGUCUCUUGUAACCAAUUUAUAAAACUGAUCUUCUAGUACAAAAGCUAGAAUACUCCUAUAAGACGAGAAGACCCUGUGAAGCUUAAAAAAUCCCAUUAAACAAACUAAUGGGUAUUUUUAGUUGGGGCAACUUUGGAAAACAACUUAACUUCCAAA
This 571-nucleotide ribosomal RNA is filed under the name Typhlops sp. SBH-2014a. RNAcentral describes it as "partial 16S ribosomal RNA". The stretch from base 209 to 464 matches the Rfam family "Archaeal large subunit ribosomal RNA", at positions 1785 to 2143 of the family's 2987-position model. The record is from RNAcentral. Lineage: Eukaryota; Metazoa; Chordata; Lepidosauria; Squamata; Typhlopidae.